CGAGUUUGAUCAUGGCUCAGAACGAACGCUGGCGGCAUGCCUAACACAUGCAAGUCGAACGAAGGCUUCGGCCUUAGUGGCGCACGGGUGCGUAACGCGUGGGAAUCUGCCCCUCGGUUCGGAAUAACUCAGAGAAAUUUGAGCUAAUACCGGAUAAUGACUUCGGUCCAAAGAUUUAUCGCCGAGGGAUGAGCCCGCGUAGGAUUAGCUAGUUGGUGGGGUAAAGGCCUACCAAGGCGACGAUCCUUAGCUGGUCUGAGAGGAUGAUCAGCCACACUGGGACUGAGACACGGCCCAGACUCCUACGGGAGGCAGCAGUGGGGAAUAUUGGACAAUGGGCGAAAGCCUGAUCCAGCAAUGCCGCGUGAGUGAUGAAGGCCUUAGGGUUGUAAAGACUCUUUUACCCGGGUAUGAUAAUGACAGUACCGGGAGAAUAAGCUCCGGCUAACUCCGUG
Molecule: ribosomal RNA, 455 nt
Filed under: uncultured bacterium
Lineage: Bacteria
Description: bacterial SSU rRNA
Rfam family: Bacterial small subunit ribosomal RNA
Source: RNAcentral